RNAcentral lists this ribosomal RNA (368 nucleotides) under uncultured bacterium. RNAcentral describes it as "bacterial SSU rRNA". It matches the Rfam family "Bacterial small subunit ribosomal RNA", at positions 29 to 424 of the family's 1533-position model. The record is from RNAcentral.
AGCGAACGCUGGCGGCAGGCUUAACACAUGCAAGUCGAGCGGGCGUAGCAAUACGUCAGCGGCAGACGGGUGAGUAACACGUGGGAACGUACCUUUUGGUUCGGAACAACACAGGGAAACUUGUGCUAAUACCGGAUAAGCCCUUACGGGAAAGAUUUAUCGCCAAAAGAUCGGCCCGCGUCUGAUUAGCUUGUUGGUGAGGUAACGGCUCACCAAGGCGACGAUCAGUAGCUGGUCGAGAGGAUGAUCAGCCACACUGGGACUGAGACACGGCCCAGACUCCUACGGGAGGCAGCAGUGGGGAAUAUUGGACAAUGGGCGAAAGCCUGAUCCAGCCAUGCCGCGUGAGUGAUGAAGGCCCUAGGGUU